UGAGUAACGCGUAUCCAACCUGCCCAUAACUAAGGGAUAACCCAGCGAAAGUUGGACUAAUACCUUAUGUAUUCGUUUGAUCUCAUGAGAUUACGAAUAAAGAUUUAUCGGUUAUGGAUGGGGAUGCGUCUGAUUAGCUUGUUGGCGGGGUAACGGCUCACCAAGGCAACGAUCAGUAGGGGGUUCUGAGAGGAAGGUCCCCCACAUUGGAACUGAGACACGGUCCAAACUCCUACGGGAGGCAGCAGGC
Molecule: ribosomal RNA, 250 nt
Filed under: uncultured Prevotella sp.
Lineage: Bacteria; Pseudomonadati; Bacteroidota; Bacteroidia; Bacteroidales; Prevotellaceae
Description: partial 16S ribosomal RNA
Rfam family: Bacterial small subunit ribosomal RNA
Source: RNAcentral